UCUAAUAUGGCAGACUAGUGUAUUGGAUUUAAACCCCAAAAAUAAAGUUUAAACUUUUUUUAGAA
RNAcentral lists this transfer RNA (65 nucleotides) under Aphthona nigriscutis (black dot leafy spurge flea beetle). Its description in RNAcentral is "tRNA-Leu". It matches the Rfam family "tRNA". Rfam says of the family: Transfer RNA (tRNA) molecules are approximately 80 nucleotides in length. Lineage: Eukaryota; Metazoa; Arthropoda; Insecta; Coleoptera; Chrysomelidae. The record is from RNAcentral.